UCAUAACGCGUUAGUGGUUUGUUAUGUUGUGAUCGUAUAUUAUGAAAAAGAUAUAUUAUUAUUUAUAUUCAGGGAAAAAGCAUUCUUGAAUGACAUUGUUGUUUUAUUUACGUGUUUAUAAGAAUAAUUAUUAGAUUAAAAGUGAUUUUCUCAACAAAUUAUUCAACAAACAUAGCUUUCUCCUACAUCAUUGAAUUUACAUCGAUGUCAUCUACGUUAUCACAUAGAAAAAGGUUAUAUAGUGUGAUAAAAAGAAUAAGUUGCAAGCAAGAUUAGAAUUGAAAGUUCAUCAACAAUACGAUCUUCAAGUUCCUGAAAAACAAGACUAGUGAAGUCGGAUAAAAAGUACUCAAAUAAGAUAAUUUUGCAGUGAAAGGAGAAGAAAUUAAAAACAUCGCUAAAAGAAAUACGCUAGUUUCUAUAAUCAGAAUUCAAUAAUUUCUUGUCAAAAUUAUAUAAGCUAUGAACAAAGUUUUAAAUCAGAUAAGUACAAGAAUAAUGAAAAGAAUGGAAACACGACUUCUACGGAGGAAAGAGAACCUGUCUGAUAAAGUUUUUUUCGAAGGAAAGAAUAUCAUAGUCAAGCCAUAUGAUACAAUGAACGUAACCUAAAUGUUAUCAAAAAAACUGUACCUACCUUCUUCCAUAUAGUAUCAAUGGACAACAAGUUUCUUCAAAACUUUUCUUCAAGCAAUUGGGAUUGAUUUGGAGAAGUAGAAAUGACGGAAGUACCGAUAAAAGAGUGCAAACAAGAAAUAGCCUUUGAGAACAUGAACAAUCUCAUACUCAUUCAGAAAUUUUACUAUGGUGAAAGUAUAUUCAUGAUCAAAUGAACAGGAUUUAUCGGAAAAUUCUUGAUCGAGAAAUCAUUGAGAACAGAUCCUGAUACGAACUGCUUUUAUUUUUUGAUACGUCCAAAAGAAAUUAACACAGUGAACUGAUUCAAAAUUUACUUGACUUGGCUUUAUUUCAUCAAAAAUGUCCGUCUAAUAUAGCCGAAAUUUGCAAACUGUCGAGACGGAAGAUGCGAACUUCGAUUUUAGUUUCGUACGUAUUUACACGAGUAUCUAUAAGUAAUUUUUUUUUUCAAACGAACCUUCUCUAAUGCGAUUAAGCUUCCAACUAAAACAAAAAUGAAAUGAAAGAAAAAAGUAAAUAUGAAAAAGUAUAGUGUAAAUAGGAUGAGAGAAGUAGCAAAUCAAUAAACAUUUUGAUUAAUAUUUGUAAUAAAUAUCAUAAUAAAAUAUAUAAUAAAUAAUCAAAUAUCACAUU
Vespula vulgaris is the source of this 1272-nucleotide long non-coding RNA. RefSeq lists it as uncharacterized. The record is from RefSeq and is a predicted model, not a curated record. The transcript is spliced from 5 exons. NCBI's taxonomy places the organism in Eukaryota, Metazoa, Arthropoda, Insecta, Hymenoptera, Vespidae.